CACGCGUGUCGAAUGCAUGAGUCAGUGGGGGAAUGAAUGGAAAAGCACUGCUUGGACAGCACAAAUACAAAAACGGAUCUACAGACUACAUAACCAAAAGACUUCUCUACACACACAUCCUGAGCACCAAGGAAACUUCUGUUUGGGCUGCUGACCAUGAAAUCUACUCUGCUUAGUUGCUGUGUUCAUCUUCGUCCUCCAGUCUGGACUCUCAGUCUCCCUGACCCAGAACUCCUCGGCCCCAGCUCUGCUCAGCCCGACCUGGACCCUCGGCAACCUGGUCCGUUUCCUGUCUGAUGUUCUUUAACAUCACCCACUACCACUCUUGGCCAACUCUGGAGGUAGGGGGAGGAGAGGAAGAUCUUCUUCUGCCUUGCGGCAUGUCCCGGCAUAACAGAAAGUCAUUCUUAUAUGCUCAUCUAGGCAUUUAGACUUCUUCCAAGAUUGGGUGGUGCUUCCAUUCUCAUAAACGACCCACAUUUGCAACCUUGGAGUCAUCGUUGAAGCCCCCUUCUUGUCCAUGCCCUUAAACAGGUCUGUCUGUGCGGACCCUCUGUCCUGGCUGAACAGCAUUUGUGGGGUCCCUGUGUUUGCUC
RNAcentral lists this long non-coding RNA (596 nucleotides) under Homo sapiens (human). Its description in RNAcentral is "HSALNT0024166". The record is from RNAcentral. Lineage: Eukaryota; Metazoa; Chordata; Mammalia; Primates; Hominidae.